RNAcentral lists this ribosomal RNA (436 nucleotides) under uncultured bacterium. RNAcentral's name for it is "bacterial SSU rRNA". It matches the Rfam family "Bacterial small subunit ribosomal RNA", at positions 340 to 789 of the family's 1533-position model. The record is from RNAcentral.
UACGGAAGGCAGCAGUGGGGAAUCUUGCGCAAUGGGCGAAAGCCUGACGCAGCCAUGCCGCGUGAAUGAUGAAGGUCUUAGGAUUGUAAAAAUUCUUUCACCGGGGACGAUAAUGACGGUACCCGGAGAAGAAGCCCCGGCUAACUUCGUGCCAGCAGCCGCGGUAAUACGAAGGGGGCUAGCGUUGCUCGGAAUUACUGGGCGUAAAGGGCGCGUAGGCGGAUCGUUAAGUCAGAGGUGAAAUCCCAGGGCUCAACCCUGGAACUGCCUUUUGAUACUGGCGAUCUUGAGUAUGAGAGAGGUAUGUGGAACUCCGAGUGUAGAGGUGAAAUUCGUAGAUAUUCGGAAGAACACCAGUGGCGAAGGCGACAUACUGGCUCAUUACUGACGCUGAGGGCGCGAAAGCGUGGGGAGCAAACAGGGAUUAGAUACCCGU